AGGAGCCAAGAGCAGCUACCACAAGUGAUGUCCCAGCUUCAGGCCCUGGGCCCUGUUGGCUGCUCCUGACCUUUGGAAUGGGCUUUGUCUCAGGGUCUGGGUGCCCCACUUCCUGCAAAUGCCAGAAACAGGAGGCCAUUUGCUUGUGGGCUGGACUAAGUGAGUACCCCCGUAACCUGUCCAUGAGCACCCACAGGGUGACCCUGGCCCACAACUCGCUGACAUUUCUGCCAGUGCUGGACCUGGGGCUGCUCAGUGACCUGGUCUCCAUGGACUGCUCACAGAAGUGCUCCGUGAGGUACUGGACAACACCUUUGUAGGGGUCUCCUGCCUGCUGUACCUGGAUCUCAGCUGCAAUGUACUAGCAGCUGUGGCACAUGGGGCCUUCUCCCCACUGGCUGUCAUGCUGCAACUCAACCUAUCACACAACCCACAGGUGAGGGCACUUCACCAAUGCCAGUGCCCUACGACUGUUUGACCUGCGCCACAGGGGCCUACACUGCCUGGACCAAGCUGCUCUUAGUGGCCUCCCAGCCCUGCACACCCUUAACCUUCGCGGGAACCCAUGGAGGUGCAACUGCUCCCUGCUGGACUUUACCAUCUACUUGCUGCGGGCACACCUCAGCCACCCAGCUACCAGGUUCCAGAUGCUAAAGUGAUGCCAACUGGACUUCCCUGGGCAGAUGACCCCACCAAUGUGUUCAGGAGCCCCGCUUCCCCAGAAGCCCACCACACUAGGGAAAGAGAGAGGCAGGCUGGAAGUGUGGAUCAACCUGCCAUCAUCCAUGUUCAAAGGGGAGGUAAUUACAGAAGCCAGACCUUCCACAUUCUGCACGCCAUAAUGACCCUGGGUUCAUACGCCCAGAGGUAUAAAGAACAGGAAAGCUAUCAGGGGAGGAGAUGGGAUACAGAGUUCUGGUGAUGGGAAUUGUGUGGACUUAUACCUCUCUUAUCCUAUGGUUUUUGUCAGUGUUUCCUUUUUAUAAAUAAAUAUUAAGAAAUAAAAUAAACUAUAAAAUUUAAAAGUUCACAGUAAAAAUUCAGAAUUUCAGUAACAUUAAAUGCCAUCUUUUGCCAUCAUUCUUUUUUUUUUUUUUUCCCUCCAAGGUUAUUGCUGGGACUCUGUGCCUGUACCAGGAAUCCACUGACCUGGACACCACCCUCUCCCUUUUUGUUGCCCUUGGUUUUUUUCUUUUUAAUUAUCAUUAUUACUGUUGCUGUCAUUGUCCUUGGAUAAUACAGAGAGAAAUGGAGAGAGAAGAGCAAACAGAGAGGGGUAGAGAAAGAUAAGAUACCUGCAGACCUGCUUCACUGCCCGUGAAGAAUUGACUCCCCUACAGGUGUGGAGCCAGGGUCUCAACCCAGAUUCCUUACGCCUGUGCUUGCACUUCGCACCAUGCAUGCUAACCCCGCUGUGCUACUACUGCCUGACCACCUUUUGCCAUCAUUCUAAAAUGAUUAGGAUGGGUGCAGUGACUUAACAAACCUGCUACCUUCAUUGGAGACAGGGUGGGGUCUGGCUCUGGGUGGGGUCACCUCUGCAGGAGAAAUUAUCUCCUUUAUAGGCAAAAUACUUAAUAGUUUGUGCCUUUUAAUUUUAUACUUGCUUUUAACUGCAUUCCUUCACCUACCAGUUAUUACGAAGUCUUGUAUCUGGAAUGAUUUUCUAUAAGGGAAUAUUAUCUGUGCCUUACAAAUAAAUUAAUAUACUUUUAUUCAGCCUUGUAUAUAAAGUACAUUCCUUAACCUCAAGGAGCUUUAACUAUUGAUGGUAUGCAGCUCAGAAUAGCUGAUAAAGUCACAAAAAGUCUUAAGUUUGAGUCUACUAGGCAUGAAAUUCUUAGGCCUGUUCACUUGUCAUCAUACUCCCCACCUGAUAAUUUAAUACCAACAGACUCACCAUAAAAGGUAUAAUGGCAACAGCUAAUAGAAUCUGCGCACAAACUUGUGGGUGGGACUAAUGAAAACAUCUUUUAAUCCCUUUAUUUAUUCUUCACAAUAAGCUUUCUACAUUACAUAGUAAAUAUGACUGCUAGUUCACUGGCACCAAAACUGAAUCACAGAGAAACUGAGUUUCACAGAAAGCUGCAAAAUCUUUUGUAUGUAAUCCCAAAGCUGUUUCUUUGAACAGCUCAGCAUAUUCUUUUUUGUUAUUUUUUAUUUUCCCUUUUGUUGCCCUGUUUUUUAUUGUUGUUGUAGUUAUUAUUAUUACUGAUGUCAUCAUUGUUGUAUAGGAUAUACAGAAAUGGAGAGAGGAGGGUAUGACAGAGAGGGUGAGAGAAAGACCUGCAGACCUGCAGACCUGCUUCACCACAUGUGAAGAGGCUCCCCUGCAGAAAGAAAUGAUGUCUUAACAAUAAUGGGAAAAACUGCUAUAGACAAGAUCCCUUGUUUCAUGCCACUGAAUAAUGUUGGAGACUAAAAAUACAAUGAUAUAACAGCAAAUAAAUCUUUUCUGACCUGCAGUUUGUCAUAUGUUCAUCAAAUCAAAUG
Molecule: long non-coding RNA, 2493 nt
Organism: Erinaceus europaeus (western European hedgehog)
Lineage: Eukaryota; Metazoa; Chordata; Mammalia; Eulipotyphla; Erinaceidae
Exons: 3
Source: RefSeq, a predicted model, not a curated record